RNAcentral lists this long non-coding RNA (597 nucleotides) under Marmota monax (woodchuck). Lineage: Eukaryota; Metazoa; Chordata; Mammalia; Rodentia; Sciuridae. The record is from RNAcentral.
CGAUUGCUCCAACGGAACGACUCCUGUCUCAUCUUUUCGCCGACGCCACUCAUCCUUCAGGACUCCCUGGACCCCGCUAGGGCAGGACCCCGGCAUGCCUGAAAUAAAUAAUAGGUGAUUUCAUGAGAGGAAUAAAGGAGCUCAGCAUUUCCAAGGGAUGCAUACGAAGGUCAGGAGGAGCAACUUCCUUCUGAUGAAGACGGAUAUUUAUGGAUUGUCUAUAAAGUUGGUUAAAAUUUCUUAUCCUUCUUCCUUUUAUAGAGGCUGACUCUUAGAGUGAAACCUAUAUAUUUUCCUUCCCUCAUCUCUACAUAGCAGGUAUUUUGAAUUUUAUCUCCAGACCACCCCUUGUAUUUGUUUCUUCUUUUCCAAUCUCUAUGACUCUUAUUAGCUCAUGCUUGGGUUAUUGCAGUGUCCUUCUAACUGGUCUUCCUAUCUUGGCUCUGAAAUGAUCAGUGGUAUUUGGGAGGAUUAAACUGAUUCACUGGUGUUAAUCAUCCUACCUUGAAAUUUCAUUGCAACAUUUAAUCUUAUAUUCCUGUUCUUUUCCAUUUUCAGCAUGUAUUUUCUGAAAGUAUUCAACCUUUUCUGUCUUUA